RNAcentral lists this transfer RNA (65 nucleotides) under Chloroflexota bacterium. RNAcentral's name for it is "tRNA-Ser". Lineage: Bacteria; Bacillati; Chloroflexota. The record is from RNAcentral.
GCCGGCGCUGUUCGGUUAUCGACUGAUAAUCGAGAGGUCGCGGGUUUGAUUCCCGCCCGCCUGCG